UGAGGAACAUGACCUUCGGCGGGGGAUAGCCGGCCCAACGGCCGGGUAAUACCGCGUACGACCACUCGGGGACAUCCCUAGGUGGUGAAAGCAGCAAUGCGCCGAUGGAGUGCCUCGCGGCCUAUCAGCUAGUUGGUGGGGUAACGCUCACCAAGGCGACGACGGGUAGCUGGUCUGAGAGGACGACCAGCCACACUGGAACUGAGAUACGGUCCAGACUCCGUACGGGGAGGCAGC
This 237-nucleotide ribosomal RNA is filed under the name uncultured bacterium. RNAcentral's name for it is "partial 16S ribosomal RNA". It matches the Rfam family "Bacterial small subunit ribosomal RNA", at positions 118 to 352 of the family's 1533-position model. The record is from RNAcentral.